RNAcentral lists this transfer RNA (68 nucleotides) under Ips acuminatus. RNAcentral describes it as "tRNA-Val". Lineage: Eukaryota; Metazoa; Arthropoda; Insecta; Coleoptera; Curculionidae. The record is from RNAcentral.
CGGGGUAAAGCUUUUUGAAGCAUUUUAUUUACAUUAAAGAGAUUAUCAAUUAUAUUGGUAUACCUUAA